GGUGGUAAACUCCAUCUAAGGCUAAAUAUCGACGAGAGACCGAUAGCGAACAAGUACAGUGAUGGAAAGAUGAAAAGCACUUUGAAAAGAGAGUGAAACAGUACGUGAAAUUGUUGGAAGGGAAGGGAUUGGGGAGGAAACCUCUUGCCCCGUGUUUGCGCGCAGUCAAAAGCUGUGCGGGCAUGCUUCGGCUACGCCCGCGCGUUGCCCGGCCGCGUUUAGACACGGCGCGAGCUAGUCCCCCCAAUCCGCCCGUCUUGAAACACGGACCAAGGAGUCUAAUGAUUGUGCGAGUGUGCGGACGUCAGCUCCCAGCGCGUAAUGAAAGUAAGCCGCAGUUCCACUGCGCUCCGGGCACACACGGGUGUGCCUGAGAAAGCACAGCUAUUAGGACCCGAAAGAUGGUGAACUAUACUUGGAUAGGGUGAAGCCAGAGGAAACUCUGGUGGAGGCUCGCAGCGGUUCUGACGUGCAAAUCGAUCGUCGAAUCUGAGUAUAGGGGCGAAAGACUAAUCGAACCAUCUAGUAGCUGGUUCCUGCCGAAGUUUCCCUCAGG
Molecule: ribosomal RNA, 556 nt
Filed under: uncultured Ascomycota
Lineage: Eukaryota; Fungi; Ascomycota
Description: eukaryotic LSU rRNA
Rfam family: Eukaryotic large subunit ribosomal RNA
Source: RNAcentral